Prunus persica (peach) is the source of this 1672-nucleotide RNA transcript. It is a transcript of the gene named putative disease resistance protein At1g50180, with no coding region annotated. The record is from RefSeq and is a predicted model, not a curated record. NCBI's taxonomy places the organism in Eukaryota, Viridiplantae, Streptophyta, Magnoliopsida, Rosales, Rosaceae. The transcript has 3 exons.
CCUGAAGGUUGUCUGGUGUGCGCGAUACAAGAAGUUGCACAAAUAUAUAUAAUUGAUGAGGAAGUGGUCAGCAAACGCCAAAGUAGACUAAUUAUUUUAUUUUAUUUUUAUUUUAGAGAUGUUGGGACGAUUAUUUAUUAGUUUAUUGGACAUAGAAAGAUAGAAAUUGCUAAAUCAAUCUAAAAACUAAUUCAGGUUCACCCACUACAACUUGCAUUACAUUAUAUUUUAGAAUAAGGUGGUCAGAAAACGACAAAGUUGAUGAGUUCUUGUUGGGUUCAAAUUGAACCAAUUGGCUGCAAAUUAGAUCAAUAUGCAAAUUAGAUCUGGAGGUUUAGUUGUUGUUUUCGUUUUGGCGAAGAGAGAGUAAGUAGUAGAGAGAAUGGCUGAGGCAGUUGUUUCCUUUGUGCUCGAAAGUGUCAGGGACUUCACCAUUCAGGAAGCCAAGUUCUUGUCUGGAGUCAGCCAUCAAGUUGAGGUCGCACAAACUGAGCUACAAUUGAUGCAGGGCUUCCUCAAAGAUGCAGAUGCAAGACAAGGACAAGAUGAAACAGUCCGUAUUUGGGUUGCCAAGAUUAGAGAUGCUGCUUAUGAUUUGGAGGAUGUCAUCCAAACUUAUGGCUUGAAAGUGGUUUCCAAGAAGAAAAGAGGCCUCAAGAAUGUUCUCAAAAGAUUUGCCUGCAUCUUCAAGGAAGGGGUUGAUGUUCACAGGAUUGGGAACGAAAUUGAGAAUAUCACCACCAGAAUUUCUGAUUUGAGGUCAAGUUUGCAGAAGUAUAACAUAAAGCAAACAAGAGAAAGUAGUGGUGGUGAAUCUUCCUUGCAAUUGCAUGAGAGGCUAAGGAGAAGUUAUUCUCAUGUUGUUGAACGUGAUGUUGUUGGGUUAGAGUCCAACGUUGAAGAAUUGGUUGUGCAUUUGGUGAAAGAUGAAAACCGUCAUCAAGUUGUAUCUGUUUGGGGUAUGGGCGGUUUAGGGAAGACCACCCUUGCAAGAAAGGUUUAUCAUCACAAAAAAGUAAGGCAGCAUUUCCUUAGUUUUGCUUGGGUCUGUAUAUCUCAACGUUUUCAAGUCAGAAAUGUUUGGGAAAGAAUUUUAAUUGAACUCACUUCUGCUACCAAGGAACCAAAACAAGAAAUUAAGGACAUGACAGAUGAUGAAAUAGCAAAGAAGCUUUUUUGUGUCAUGGAAGAAAUGAGAUGUUUGGUGAUUCUUGAUGACAUUUGGAGUAUCGAGACAUGGAAUCUUUUGAAGGUUGCAUUUCCAAACGUGGAAACAGAGAGCACAAUAUUGCUUACUACACGGAAUCAAGCAGUAGCUUCGCUCCCAAAUAGAAAUGUUUUUCUCCACAAACUCCAGCCACUCAAUGAGAAUGAGAGUUGGGAACUACUUGUGAAGAAAGCAAUACCUGCAAGGGCUGAAAUCGGCAAGGAAUAUCCACUAAGACUGCUCAUACUAGAGUUUUGAAGGUUGAAGGUCUUAAUAAGGUAGAAGUUGAGUUGCCAAGUGAAAUUGGAAAUAUGGUACACUUAAGGUUUCUAAGCGUGAAGGAUUGCUAUAUAACAACGUUUCCGCCAUCCCUAGAGCAAAUGGUAAGCUGGAGCUGUCUACUCUUGGCCAUCUACAGACCUUAUAUAACCUUUCAAGUGAGUAUUGUGAUUUGAAAGAUGUUGG